RNAcentral lists this ribosomal RNA (155 nucleotides) under uncultured Bacteroidota bacterium. Its description in RNAcentral is "uncultured Bacteroidetes bacterium partial 16S ribosomal RNA". The record is from RNAcentral. Lineage: Bacteria; Pseudomonadati; Bacteroidota.
CGUACGGGAGCCAGCAGUAGGGAAUAUUGGUCAAUGGAUGAGAUUUUGAACCAGCCAUGCAACGUGCAGGAAGAAGGCCUUUUUUAUAGGAGACUGCUUUUGCCUGGGGAUAAAAUUUGCAUGGGUGCGAUAAUGAAGUUUCCCCCGGGGUAAAA